Molecule: ribosomal RNA, 293 nt
Filed under: uncultured Singulisphaera sp.
Lineage: Bacteria; Pseudomonadati; Planctomycetota; Planctomycetia; Isosphaerales; Isosphaeraceae
Description: partial 16S ribosomal RNA
Rfam family: Bacterial small subunit ribosomal RNA
Source: RNAcentral
GUGUCAGCCGCCGCGGUAAGACGAACCGUGCGAACGUUAUUCGGAAUCACUGGGCUUAAAGCGCGUGUAGGCGGGCCGGCACGUCGAUCGCUGAAAUCCCCCGGCUCAACCGGGGAAGGGGCGUCGAUACGACCGGCCUGGAGGGACGUAGGGGGACCUGGAACUUCCGGUGGAGCGGUGAAAUGCGUUGAGAUCGGAAGGAACGCCCGUGGCGAAAGCGAGGUCCUGGACGUUUUCUGACGCUGAGACGCGAAAGCCAGGGGAGCGAACGGGAUUAGAAACCCCUGUAGUCC